AUGAACGCUGGCGGCGUGCCUAAUCCAUGCAAGUCGAUCGAACGGACGCGAAGCUUGCUUCUCUGAUGUUAGCGGCGGACGGGUGAGUAACACGUGGAUAACCCACCUAUAAGAUUGGGAUAACUUCGGGAAACCGGAUCUAAUACCGGAUAAUGUUUUGAACCACCUGGUUCAAAAGUGAAAGACGGUCUUGCUGUCAUUUAUAGAUGGAUCCGCGCUGCAUUAGCUAGUUGGUAAGGUAACGGCUUACCAAGGCAACGAUGCAUAGCCGACCUGCGAGGGUGGUCGACCACACUAGAACGUAGACACGGUCCAGACUCCUACGGGAGGCAGCAGUAGGGAAUCUUCCGCAAUGGGGCAAAUCCUGACGGAACAGCGCCGCGUGAGUGAUGAAGGUCUUCGGAUCGUAAAACUCUGUUAUUAGGGAAGAACAUAUGUGUAAGUAACUGUGCACAUCUUGACGGUACCUAAUCAGAAAGCCACGGCUAACUACGUG
This 496-nucleotide ribosomal RNA is filed under the name uncultured bacterium. RNAcentral's name for it is "partial 16S ribosomal RNA". It matches the Rfam family "Bacterial small subunit ribosomal RNA", at positions 29 to 507 of the family's 1533-position model. The record is from RNAcentral.